RNAcentral lists this ribosomal RNA (492 nucleotides) under uncultured bacterium. Its description in RNAcentral is "partial 16S ribosomal RNA". It matches the Rfam family "Bacterial small subunit ribosomal RNA", at positions 29 to 507 of the family's 1533-position model. The record is from RNAcentral.
AUUGAACGCUGGCGGCAUGCUUUACACAUGCAAGUCGAACGGUAACAGGCCUUCGGGUGCUGACGAGUGGCGCACGGGUGAGUAAUGCAUCGGAACGUACCCAGAGGUGGGGGAUAACGCAGCGAAAGCUGUGCUAAUACCGCAUGUGAUCUGAGGAUGAAAGCGGGGGACCGAGCAGCAAUGUUUGGCCUCGCGCCUUUGGAGCGGCCGAUGUCGGAUUAGCUAGUUGGUGGGGUAAAGGCCUACCAAGGCGACGAUCCGUAGCUGGUCUGAGAGGACGACCAGCCACACUGGGACUGAGACACGGCCCAGACUCCUACGGGAGGCAGCAAUGGGGAAUUUUGGACAAUGGGCGCAAGCCUGAUCCAGCAAUGCCGCGUGCGGGAAGAAGGCCUUCGGGUUGUAAACCGCUUUUGGCAGGAACGAAACGGUGUCCGCUAAUACCGGGCGCUAAUGACGGUACCUGCAGAAUAAGCACCGGCUAACUACGUG